RNAcentral lists this ribosomal RNA (473 nucleotides) under uncultured bacterium. RNAcentral's name for it is "bacterial SSU rRNA". It matches the Rfam family "Bacterial small subunit ribosomal RNA", at positions 335 to 802 of the family's 1533-position model. The record is from RNAcentral.
ACUCCUACGGGAGGCAGCAGUAGGGAAUCUUCCGCAAUGGGCGAAAGCCUGACGGAGCAACGCCGCGUGAGUGAUGAAGGUCUUCGGAUCGUAAAACUCUGUUAUUAGGGAAGAACAAACGUGUAAGUAACUGUGCACGUCUUGACGGUACCUAAUCAGAAAGCCACGGCUAACUACGUGCCAGCAGCCGCGGUAAUACGUAGGUGGCAAGCGUUAUCCGGAAUUAUUGGGCGUAAAGCGCGCGUAGGCGGUUUUUAAGUCUGAUGUGAAAGCCCACGGCUCAACCGUGGAGGGUCAUUGGAAACUGGAAAACUUGAGUGCAGAAGAGGAAAGUGGAAUUCCAUGUGUAGCGGUGAAAUGCGCAGAGAUAUGGAGGAACACCAGUGGCGAAGGCGACUUUCUGGUCUGUAACUGACGCUGAUGUGCGAAAGCGUGGGGAUCAAACAGGAUUAGAUACCCUGGUAGCUACGAGU